AGUACCUAGAUUAACAACCUUGCCCUCUAGAGUUUUUCAGGGGAGCCUAUUCAGUCACAGAUGGCAGCCUAUAGGGGUCUAUGCAUUUAAACAGUCUAACUACAGUACCACAGAAAGAUUGGAAUGGGAAGAGCAAAGUUCUUCUCUACUUUCUUCAGAUGAAAAAAUUCUAAUGCUAAGUGACAUUUGAACCUGCUCUUGAGAAACCAUUCCUCAGGUCCCAAGAAGUACAUUAUGGACUCUCUUCACAUGUGAUAAUUCUCUGGCCUGGCUAGUAUUAGAGGACUGGCAGCCAGGGCAUUACAACAACCAACCCAGAGGUUAAGAGUACAACAGACUAUCCCCAGGGACAGUAGAGGUUACUAGGAAAGGAGUAAUAAGUAAUUGCCCUCACCUCCUUUAAGGUGGUAUCAGUUGAGGCCCAGUGGAAAGUCUGAAUUACUACCUUCACCUGGCAAAUUACAAAGGUGAAUCGCUCCCUUCCACAACUAAGUAGAUAAUAAAGAAAGCCUGCUAACAAGAGAGGAUGCCAAGAUCUGAUGCCUAGCUUAGUGCAAGAGUGCUUGUCUAGCAGGUGAGGCCCUGGGGUUGAUUUCCAUCAAAUGACAAACAAACCAAAUGAAUGGGUGAAUAACAAAAAAGGAAGUUUCCAGAGUCUAAUAAUACUGAAACAUUCAGGCCCCAGUAAAAAAUAUAUCUGUGAUACCUACUCUUGGCUACCAACUUACUUCAUGGGACUCAAGAAUCAUUAUGGAAACAAAAGCUCUCACAUGUCUGCAAAAGGUUUUCUAGAUUAGGUGACUGAGGUAGGAAGACCCUCCCAGGAUGUAGGGGCACCAACCCACACACUGGAAUCCUGGACUGAAUAAAAAGCAGAAUGAAUGGGCAGCAGAAUUCACUGCUGUUUCUAAACAAGGAUGCAUGCAACUAGCUGCCUCACACUCCUUUCUGCCAGGACUUCCAUGCCAUGAGACUAUCCAUCAAAUUGGAGCCAAAAUAAACUCUUAAAUCACCUUGCCAGGCAUUCUGUCUCACCACCAAGUAACUAAUGCAGUAAACACAAUGAAAACUUAACUGACAGGCUCAAGGAGAAAAGAGGAGAAUCAACAAUCAAGACAAAUAUUACCCAACAAAAAAGAAACAGAUGGAGGAGGAAGGCAGUUAUUUCAGGUCCAACUGACAAAAUCUGUAACAAAAAUUUCAGUAUUUCAGAGUAGGGAUAAAAUAAGACCAGCACUGUAUGUGUGUCAAAAAUACCUAAUAUAUCAAUAAUGAGAAUUAGUGUCUCAAAGUGAGGGAAGAAAACAAUAUCAUUAGUGUUAUAGUAUGAGACAAAAUAUUUCUCUAAUAUAUAAUUCUACUGCAGAUUCCAGAUCAGUGAACUACAAAUAAGUUAAACCAAAGAAAGUCCCAUCUACCCAAAUCACACUCAAACCUCAAACUAAAACAGAGUCCUAUUCAAUCUGAAAACUAAAGGAAAAACUUUGAAAGCAUUCAGGACAGAACACAGUUACAGUUAUACCAAAAAAAAAGGGGGGGGGGGGGACCAGACUUAAUGACAGAAUAUUCCACAUUAGAACCUAUGCAGGCCAGAGAAAGGGCAAAUAUUUUCAAGUAAUGGGGGAGUGGUGACAUUGUAAAGCCAGAAAUAUGUAUUUAAUGAAUCUAUUCUUCUAAAGAGAAAAAUGAAGAAAAAACAAGAGAAUCUGUCAGUGGUAGACCUCUAAUGGAUGGCUGCAGGAAGUUUCCUGGACAGAAAGGAAAUGCUUAGGAUGGCACCCUGAAAUGAGGAAUGGAAAAACAAAAAAGCAACGGGAGAUUUGAAGUUUGGGGUAGGUGAGAUGGUAAAAACACUUGCCACACAAGCCUAGCCUGAGCUCAGUGUGAGGAACCCAAGUAAAGGAGGAAGAUGACAAGUGACUACGCAAAGUUGCCCUCGGACCUCCUCUUUUGCUAAAAUGUAUUUGUGAGAAAAUAAACAAGAUAUUCUGGAGGUGGUAAAUUCUAAUCUCCCAAGUGA
Long non-coding RNA from Mastomys coucha (southern multimammate mouse), 2020 nucleotides. RefSeq lists it as uncharacterized. The record is from RefSeq and is a predicted model, not a curated record. NCBI's taxonomy places the organism in Eukaryota, Metazoa, Chordata, Mammalia, Rodentia, Muridae. The transcript has 2 exons.